CUAACUUGUUUUGUAGUACUAUGUUAAUUAAAGGAAACAUCACUAAGACCAAAACUAACACGUCAAAAUAUAUGCUAACUUACUGUUUAGAUGCUAUCAUUGUAAAGUUAAAAACCUUAUUGUGUUUGCUAACCACUAACAUACUUUUUAUCGACCAUUACAUCGUUUAUUGGGUGUAGUACUUUAAUCAUUACUGAGGGCUGUUACUGGUGUCUAUGUAGUUCUAACACUAAACUUAACAUCUUCGUUAUUAAUCACUAAACAACUAGUAGCAUCUUUUCUUUUUGGCUUACAAAAGACUCUCUUUUUCAUAAAUUUAUCUCGUUCUCUCUCUACCAAAUCAAGUUGACAGUUAUGGUUUUUCAUAACUCGCUUAAAUAGACCAUCAAAAUUAAAAAAAAAAUUGGGGAUAACCCUUACAUCUUCC
This 427-nucleotide long non-coding RNA is filed under the name Brassica rapa (field mustard). RNAcentral describes it as "long non-coding RNA (BRAP_LNC004229)". Lineage: Eukaryota; Viridiplantae; Streptophyta; Magnoliopsida; Brassicales; Brassicaceae. The record is from RNAcentral.